UACCUGCAGCUCAAGUGGUGACCGCUAUUAUUGGGCCUAAAACGUUCGUAGCCGGUUUGGUAAAUGCCUGGGUAAAUCGUGUAGCUUAACUAUACGAAUUCCGGGUAGACUGCCAAACUUGAGACCGGGAGAAGCUAGAGGUACUCCUGGGGUAGAGGUGAAAUUCUGUAAUCCUAGGGGGACCACCAGUGGCGAAGGCGUCUAGCUAGAACGGGUUUGACGGUGAGGAACGAAGCCCUGGGGCGCAAACCGGAUUAGAUACCCGGGUAGUCCAGGGUGUAAACGCUGCUUGCUUGAUGUUAGUUGGGCUCCGAGCCCAAUUAGUGUCGGAGAGAAGUUGUUAAGCAAGCUGCCUGGGAAGUACGAUCGCAAGGUUGAAACUUAAAGGAAUUGGCGGGGGAGCACAGCAACGGGUGGAGCGUGCGGUUU
RNAcentral lists this ribosomal RNA (429 nucleotides) under uncultured archaeon. RNAcentral describes it as "bacterial SSU rRNA". It matches the Rfam family "Archaeal small subunit ribosomal RNA", at positions 474 to 903 of the family's 1478-position model. The record is from RNAcentral.